Molecule: long non-coding RNA, 1352 nt
Organism: Leopardus geoffroyi (Geoffroy's cat)
Lineage: Eukaryota; Metazoa; Chordata; Mammalia; Carnivora; Felidae
Exons: 4
Source: RefSeq, a predicted model, not a curated record
CUCUUGUGGAUCCAUUUGGUGAAGGUUCUUUUGUUCAGCAUCACGGCAGUUGGGGUGGGGAGGGGAGGGACUCCAGCCCCAACCGCCCCUGGGCUCUGGGGCUCUGACACGAUGAGCCUUGUUUGAGCCUGGGUGGCAAUUGGCUAAGCAAGGGAAAAAGACAAGCGUCGGGAGGAACCAAAUCGGAACCAUUCCAAGCCCAGGCUUUGGAAGCAGCUGGACUUGGGGCAGAUCACCUACCAGCUCUGUGGCAGAGAUGUGUCGUCAUCUAUAAAAUGGGGAUCCCUUUCAGCAGAUUUGAAUCUGGUGGGUGCCAGUCACUCUGCACCACGGAAGUCGUCCAGAUAGCCACCUUAGCCUCUUCCCCGGCUUCUAAGAUGGUGGCAUCCAAGGUGAUGGCAGUGAGCCUGGCCCAAGCCACCUCGGCAGCCUGUGGCAGUGCCCUCGCCCGACUUCGUCCGCAGCACAAACAGCAGCUCAGGAUGGAAUGGGGAGGACCGGGCCCCUGACCACUGCCGACCUCUGACCUCUGACACUGUGCAUUCACCCUCUGUUCUUCCACGGGAGUCACCCUGUCAUCCACAGCUGCCCUGAGCCAGGCCACAGCUUCCCUGGGAUCUCUGCUGGGGACACUGAGUGGCUCCUCCCUGGUGGAAUCCCCUGCUGUGGCCUUGACUAUCUCCCCACUUGGAGGUAACUGACCCUGGAGAACAAACCCCCCUUUUAGGGCCCCCACUCAGUGCUUGGAAGUGUGACAAGGAAUAGGGCCUGGGCCACAGCCAGCAGCCCUCCCUGUUCGCUAGAAACAUAAGGACUCCCGAGCUUGUGAUAAGCAAUCCAUAAAAUAAUAAGAAAGCUAGAUGUUAUCAGACACUGUGCCCUCCUACUCUCUAUGCUUAGCACUUAACAUGUACCAAUUGGUUUAAUUAUCAUAACAACUGCAGAGGAAGACAACACUGACCCUCAUGUAUGAAUGAAGGAACGUUAGCCAAAAGCCCUGGACCAGGAGUCAAGGUUGGUGCAGCUGCGUUGGAAGGAGGUGAGUCUCUGCAAGGAAGAAGUUCAAGUCCUUAUCUGCCCCCCCAGCCCCAAGGACUUGGGGAGCAACCAUCCUCGUCCAGGCCCAGGUUUGCCUCGGCCUCGCGUGGAUGGUAGAGGAGGAGGCAGAUUGGUAGAGAUGGGCAGGAAGCAAGGAACUGGAAACAAGAAAUGAAGGGGCCUCUGUAGUAGGAUGAUUUCUCAGCAUGGUGCCCAGUGACCCUCACCCUUUUUAAAAAAAAUUUUGUUUUCAUAUUUAUUUAUUUUUGAGGUUGAGAGAGAGAGAGGGACACAGCGUGAGUGGGGAAGGGGCA